CAUCAGCGGACGUACGGAAUAGCGAGUCGCACCGAACUGCCAUGGGAGUCGCCAUGUUCUUGUACGUCUAUAGUGUCAGCCUGGGAGAUGUUGAGAUAUACAAGGUGUAGAGCUGGAUGAACACAGCAGGCCAAGCAGCAUCAGAGGAGCAGGAAAGCUGACGUUUCGGGCCUAGACACUUCUUCAGAAAAUGUCAGAUUCUCCAGCAUCUGCAGUUCCUACUAUCUCUGGGAGAUGUUGGGAUUUAGUGGUGCUCCAAACCACCAGAUCCCAUGAAAAUGAAGGAUAAGAUUCGGGGAACUUGGAUGACAAGAGAAAUUGAACCAGUUGGAUAACUCCCUCUCAGACAUCUUAAACUGGAGUAUCCUCCUUGGAAACAAACUGACAAUAUGCUCAAUGCAGAGCCCAGAUUUUGUGAUGUUAAAUUGCACCUCAGAAUAUAUUGCACGGCCCUUACACGCCCCUGCUCUCCAUUCAACUGCUGGGUAAGUCUGCACACAUGUGUCUUAAGUUGACUGUCACCACGGUUGAGGAAA
Rhincodon typus (whale shark) is the source of this 536-nucleotide long non-coding RNA. RefSeq lists it as uncharacterized. NCBI's taxonomy places the organism in Eukaryota, Metazoa, Chordata, Chondrichthyes, Orectolobiformes, Rhincodontidae. The transcript has 3 exons. The record is from RefSeq and is a predicted model, not a curated record.